Molecule: unclassified non-coding RNA, 422 nt
Filed under: Hevea brasiliensis (rubber tree)
Lineage: Eukaryota; Viridiplantae; Streptophyta; Magnoliopsida; Malpighiales; Euphorbiaceae
Source: RNAcentral
AGGUUGUAACCCUGCCCCCCUCAACUCCUCCUUUCCCAGCCUGGGCAGGGAAAAAAAAGUAACAAAAGGAGAAAGUAAAAGUGGGAAAAGACGAGAGAGUAAUGAAAAGCUAGUAUGAUAAUCACAUUUGAAGUUUAGUGAAAUUCCUCGGGGCUUGUUUGGUUGUGGAAAAUUAGACCUGUCUUCCAGAAAAAAUGAUUGCAAGAAAAGUGGAAAAUGGAAAUUGUUGUUCAGUUGCAAUAAUUUGCAAGUGCGGAAUUGGAAUGAAUUUUCACGUUUUCUAGCUAACUGCUUAACUUUAGAAAACAUCUAUAGAUAGCUUUCCAUAUUUUCUUUGCACAAGGGAGGGAUACAGCUAAAUGGGAAGCACAGGUUUCCUUGUUUUCAUUUUUGGGCAUCACAGUGUUGGGCUCAAAUUCCAG